This 543-nucleotide ribosomal RNA is filed under the name Saccharomyces cerevisiae (brewer's yeast). RNAcentral's name for it is "partial large subunit ribosomal RNA". It matches the Rfam family "Eukaryotic large subunit ribosomal RNA", at positions 53 to 599 of the family's 3401-position model. The record is from RNAcentral. Lineage: Eukaryota; Fungi; Ascomycota; Saccharomycetes; Saccharomycetales; Saccharomycetaceae.
GAGGAAAAGAAACCAACCGGGAUUGCCUUAGUAACGGCGAGUGAAGCGGCAAAAGCUCAAAUUUGAAAUCUGGUACCUUCGGUGCCCGAGUUGUAAUUUGGAGAGGGCAACUUUGGGGCCGUUCCUCGUCUAUGUUCCUUGGAACAGGACGUCAUAGAGGGUGAGAAUCCCGUGUGGCGAGGAGUGCGGUUCUUUGUAAAGUGCCUUCGAAGAGUCGAGUUGUUUGGGAAUGCAGCUCUAAGUGGGUGGUAAAUUCCAUCUAAAGCUAAAUAUUGGCGAGAGACCGAUAGCGAACAAGUACAGUGAUGGAAAGAUGAAAAGAACUUUGAAAAGAGAGUGAAAAAGUACGUGAAAUUGUUGAAAGGGAAGGGCAUUUGAUCAGACAUGGUGUUUUGUGCCCUCUGCUCCUUGUGGGUAGGGGAAUCUCGCAUUUCACUGGGCCAGCAUCAGUUUUGGUGGCAGGAUAAAUCCAUAGGAAUGUAGCUUGCCUCGGUAAGUAUUAUAGCCUGUGGGAAUACUGCCAGCUGGGACUGAGGACUGCGA